GAACAAACAGAAAACAAACAACCCGGAAACAAUCCAAAUGCCAAUAAAGAGCAGAAUGGAUAAAUACUCUGUAAUGAACUCACACACUGAAAUUUAACACAUAGCACUGAAAAUAAAUGAAUAGGCACUGACAUGGGUGAAUAUCAGAACAAAUGUAGACUCAAAAAAGCCAGCUACAAUUAAAAAAAAUAGCUCUGGUUUCAUUUUUAUAAUAUUUUACUUUUUUUCAUUUUUAAAAUAUUUUAAAUACAGAAAAUAAAACAAUAUAUUUUCAGGUACAUAUGUAUGUGGUAAAAUCAUUAGGGAAACUAAACAACUGACAAGUAUGAAUUUCAAACGGUGCCAAAUUCUUGAGGUAAGAGUAAGGGAGAAGUUGAGAUCAGAAGGGUACGUAAAGGUUUCAAAUGUGUUAUUUCUGAAGCCAGAUUUUAAGAACCCGUGUGUUUUAGUUUUACAUAUGUGGUAUAUACAUGUAAUAAAUAAUUUAAGAGUAUUAAAUAAUGACAUUUUAUGAGUUUAAUAUUUUAAGUUAAAACAAUAGGACAUCAGUGCUUUUAUAGUCAUCUUGUUUUAUUUUCUUUUUUAAAGCUCUUUUUUUUUUUUUAAGAUUUCAUUUAUUUAUUUGAGAGAGAGAAGAAGCAGUGGGGAGAGGCAGAGGGAGAGGGAGAAGCAGACUCCCCACUAAGCAGGGAGUCCGGUGCAGGGUUCCAUCCCAGGACCCUGGGAACAUGACCUGAGCUGAAGGCAGACGUUCAACUGACUGAGCCGUGCAGGCACCUCUGUUUUAUUUUCUUAUAACUUAUCACUAUCUGAAAUUACUAUACUCAGUUAUUGAUGACCCGCUUCUUGUCUCUCUCUCUCCCUUUCCCUAGCCCAUUGCGGCCUUCACAAAAGCUGGCAGUUGGUCUCGUUGGUUCAAUGUUCAAGAGAGGAGAGUGCCUCAUACUUGAUGCAUUUGAAUUUUGGCCUUUCACGGAUCCCAGUGUGACAAGUGAAAGAUUAGGAAGUGCUGCAGCAAACCUCCUUUCGUCUAUCCCAUCACAGGGGAGCAAAAUUACUUGUAAAUUUCCUAGAGAACGUAAUACUGUUCCUGUUAACUGCCUGAAAAAUAAUUUACUUGUAUUAAAGGAAUGUCUUUUUUUGGCUAAUUUCUUAAUGAAAAACAGGGUAGAAACUAUUACUUAAAUGGCAUGGAAAAGCCUGAAGUACUUAAUUACCAAAGAAAGACGGAAAAAAAUGUUAAGCGAAGUGUAACAACAAUUACAAAAUGAGCUACGAAGCCAUUAAACAACAUUUAACGUAUGUAUCUUAAAAUUGUGCCUUUACUCAAAUGGUACUAUUUGGUGGUUUAAUUAUUUUAGAAAUAAUAAAUGAUAAUACUUUAAUGUAGAAAUUAAAAAUAAAUUCUUA
Molecule: long non-coding RNA, 1410 nt
Filed under: Mustela putorius furo (domestic ferret)
Lineage: Eukaryota; Metazoa; Chordata; Mammalia; Carnivora; Mustelidae
Description: lncRNA (ENSMPUG00000027117.1)
Source: RNAcentral